UUAAUUGAAGCCAAAGAAGAGGCUUUUCAUUGUUAAUGAAAGAAUUGAUCCAUAAUCCAAUUAAA
This 65-nucleotide transfer RNA is filed under the name Paratriatoma lecticularia. RNAcentral's name for it is "tRNA-Asn". Lineage: Eukaryota; Metazoa; Arthropoda; Insecta; Hemiptera; Reduviidae. The record is from RNAcentral.